This 495-nucleotide ribosomal RNA is filed under the name uncultured bacterium. RNAcentral's name for it is "partial 16S ribosomal RNA". It matches the Rfam family "Bacterial small subunit ribosomal RNA", at positions 28 to 507 of the family's 1533-position model. The record is from RNAcentral.
GAUGAACGCUGGCGGCGUGCCUAAUACAUGCAAGUAGAACGCUGAAGGAGGAGCUUGCUCUUCUGGAUGAGUUGCGAACGGGUGAGUAACGCGUAGGUAACCUGCCUGGUAGCGGGGGAUAACUAUUGGAAACGAUAGCUAAUACCGCAUGACAACAGUUAUUGCAUGAUAACUGUUUAAAAGGGGCAACUGCUCCACUACCAGAUGGACCUGCGUUGUAUUAGCUAGUUGGUGAGGUAACGGCUCACCAAGGCGACGAUACUUAGCCGACCUGAGAGGGUGAUCGGCCACACUGGGACUGAGACACGGCCCAGACUCCUACGGGAGGCAGCAGUAGGGAAUCUUCGGCAAUGGACGGAAGUCUGACCGAGCAACGCCGCGUGAGUGAAGAAGGGUUUCGGAUCGUAAAGCUCUGUUGUAAGAGAAGAACGAGUGUGAGAGUGGAAAGUUCACACUGUGACGGUAUCUUACCAGAAAGGGACGGCUAACUACGUG